GUACUCAUUGAGGGGCGUGACUCUAAGGUCCUACCAUAAACUCUCGGUAAUCGAUCUAAUCCUCAACGGCGCAAGAGUUGGCGAAAG
Molecule: small RNA, 87 nt
Filed under: Sinorhizobium meliloti 2011
Lineage: Bacteria; Pseudomonadati; Pseudomonadota; Alphaproteobacteria; Hyphomicrobiales; Rhizobiaceae
Description: putative ncRNA
Source: RNAcentral